Molecule: non-coding RNA, 21 nt
Filed under: Caenorhabditis elegans
Lineage: Eukaryota; Metazoa; Nematoda; Chromadorea; Rhabditida; Rhabditidae
Source: RNAcentral
UGGCAGAAGCAGCAGUCAAAA